Molecule: ribosomal RNA, 273 nt
Filed under: uncultured bacterium
Lineage: Bacteria
Description: partial 16S ribosomal RNA
Rfam family: Bacterial small subunit ribosomal RNA
Source: RNAcentral
UACGUAGGUGACAAGCGUUAUCCGGAAUUACUGGGCGUAAAGCGCACGCAGGCGGCUGAUUAAGUCUGACGUGAAAUCUCCUGGCUUAACUGGGAGGGGUCGUUGGAAACUGGUCGGCUUGAGGCAGUGAGAGGGGUGUGGAAUUCCCGGUGUAGUGGUGGAAUGCGUAGAUAUCGGGAGGAACACCAGUGGCGAAAGCGGCGCCCUGGCACUGGCCUGACGCUCAUGUGCGAAAGCGUGGGGAGCGAACGGGAUUAGAUACCCCCGUAGUCC